AUUGAACGCUGGCGGCAGGCUUAACACAUGCAAGUCGAGCGGGGGAAGGUAGCUUGCUACCGGACCUAGCGGCGGACGGGUGAGUAAUGCUUAGGAAUCUGCCUAUUAGUGGGGGACAACAUCUCGAAAGGGAUGCUAAUACCGCAUACGUCCUACGGGAGAAAGCAGGGGAUCUUCGGACCUUGCGCUAAUAGAUGAGCCUAAGUCGGAUUAGCUAGUUGGUGGGGUAAAGGCCUACCAAAGCGACGAUCUGUAGCGGGUCUGAGAGGAUGAUCCGCCACACUGGGACUGAGACACGGCCCAGACUCCUACGGGAGGCAGCAGUGGGGAAUAUUGGACAAUGGGGGGAACCCUGAUCCAGCCAUGCCGCGUGUGUGAAGAAGGCCUUAUGGUUGUAAAGCACUUUAAGCGGGGAGGAGGCUACUCUAGUUAAUACCUAGGGAUAGUGGACGUUACUCGCAGAAUAAGCACCGGCUAACUCUGUGCCAGCAGCCGCCGUAA
Molecule: ribosomal RNA, 501 nt
Filed under: uncultured bacterium
Lineage: Bacteria
Description: partial 16S ribosomal RNA
Rfam family: Bacterial small subunit ribosomal RNA
Source: RNAcentral